Molecule: ribosomal RNA, 292 nt
Filed under: uncultured bacterium
Lineage: Bacteria
Description: partial 16S ribosomal RNA
Rfam family: Bacterial small subunit ribosomal RNA
Source: RNAcentral
GUGACAGCCGCCGCGGUAAUACGUAGGGGACGAGCGUUGUUCGGAAUUAUUGGGCGUAAAGAGCGUGUAGGCGGCCCAGUAAGUCAGAUGUGAAAUCCCUUGGCUUAACCAAGGAGGGGCAUUUGAAACUGCUGGGCUUGAGUACGGGAGGGGGAAGUGGAAUUCCCGGUGUAGAGGUGAAAUUCGUAGAUAUCGGGAGGAACAUCAGUGGCGAAGGCGGCUUCCUGGAUCGAUACUGACGCUGAGACGCGAAAGCGUGGGGAGCAAACAGGAUUAGAAACCCGCGUAGUCC